CAGUAGCCGCGGUAAUACGUAGGGUGCGAGCGUUAAUCGGAAUUACUGGGCGUAAAGCGUGCGCAGGCGGUUAUAUAAGACAGAUGUGAAAUCCCCGGGCUCAACCUGGGACCUGCAUUUGUGACUGUAUAGCUAGAGUACGGUAGAGGGGGAUGGAAUUCCGCGUGUAGCAGUGAAAUGCGUAGAGAUGUGGAGGAAUACCGAUGGCGAAGGCAGCCCCCUGGGCCAAUACUGACGCUCAUGCACGAAAGCGUGGGGAGCAAACAGGAUUAGAUACCCGGGUAGUCCCUGUCUCUUAUAC
RNAcentral lists this ribosomal RNA (301 nucleotides) under uncultured bacterium. RNAcentral describes it as "partial 16S ribosomal RNA". It matches the Rfam family "Bacterial small subunit ribosomal RNA", at positions 509 to 807 of the family's 1533-position model. The record is from RNAcentral.